Rhagoletis zephyria (snowberry fruit fly) is the source of this 1044-nucleotide long non-coding RNA. RefSeq lists it as uncharacterized. Lineage: Eukaryota; Metazoa; Arthropoda; Insecta; Diptera; Tephritidae. The record is from RefSeq and is a predicted model, not a curated record.
UGUUGCCUGCUGUUUCCAAGCAUCAAUAUAGCCUAUACUGCUGAAAAUGUUCCUACAUCGUAUACAUAAUCAACCCAACAGCGCCCUUACACUGUACGGGCGUUUCGCUACAAACCAAUAAAAAACAAUUGAAUUUGUGAGUGCCGGCUGAUCACUGGGCUAAGGUGAAAUGCAGAGACAAAUGUCUCGUUAUUUCAGCGAAAAACUACCUGGUUCUGUGGCAUCGAGCGAGAGUGAUUAUCUGAAUCAUGUGUUGAUACUAACGCUGGCAUUUUCUAUGCAGAUGACUAGACUUGCUUGCUUUCCAUCUGCUUUAAAUGAAUUUUUCGUGCAAAAUAGUCAUCCUCUGGAGAAAAAGCAUUUACUUAUAAAAUCAGUCGAAGUAGAAUAUCGUAACUGGACAUCGAUGUCAAAUGGCUACGACAAUGAAUCAUAUUAUGUGGCCUAGAGCAAGAUCACUUUUCCUUUGUUUACGUGUCAAUAUGAUUUGGGACCGUCAAUACAGUGGCAUAUAUGUAUAAUCUUGGAGGGCAUUAGCGCACGCGCCUUUUCAGCACCGACUGUUUCUUCAAUGAAUUCCCCAAUACACCUGAAACUUAGUUGCCAAUCACGCCCUCAAUAGUAGCAGGUAAUGUGGUGGGUGCUGUUGCGAAGGGUUAUUCAUUGACACCACCAAAAGAGAUACAAAACUACAUCAAUGCUGUUGGCAUAAUACUCGCUGCUCUGCCUAAGAAAUAUUGGAAUGCAAAUGAACACCAUGGUGAGCCGCUGAUGUGUCUUCAGUUGGUGCUGCCUUGAGUAAAAAUUGUGAAGACAGCGAGCGCACUAAAAUCGCUGCAAGAAAUUAUAUAUGACAAUGCAGACAAAUCGGCGUCACUUACUAACGAGGAAACAGCGGAAACAAAGAUGAGGAAUUUGCAGGAUUGCAUAGAAUAUUUGGCCAAAUAUCGGCACUGAAAGCACAAAAAUCACAACGAAAAACAACCACGCCAAAGAGGAGUUUUAUGUGCCUAGUCAAGCAUUUUUAACAUCGCUAAUACAAAU